UACGUAAGGUGCAAGCGUUUUCCGGGAUUAUUGGGCGUAAAACGCUCGUCGGCGGUUUGUUUCGUCGGCUGUGAAAUCCCGAGGCUCAACCUCGGGUCUGCAGUCGAUACGAGCAAACUAGAGUGUUGCAGGGGAGACUGGAAUUCCUGGUGUAGCGGUGAAAUGCGCAGAUAUCAGGAGGAACACCGGUGGCGAAGGCGGGUCUCUGGGCAACAACUGACGCUGAGGAGCGAAAGCGUGGGGAGCGAACAGG
Molecule: ribosomal RNA, 253 nt
Filed under: uncultured bacterium
Lineage: Bacteria
Description: partial 16S ribosomal RNA
Rfam family: Bacterial small subunit ribosomal RNA
Source: RNAcentral